AACGAACGCUGGCGGCAGGCCUAACACAUGCAAGUCGAGCGCGCCCUUCGGGGUGAGCGGCGGACGGGUGAGUAACGCGUGGGAACGUGCCCUUCUCUGCGGAAUAGCCUCGGGAAACUGAGAGUAAUACCGCUUACGCCCUUUGGGGGAAAGAUUUAUCGGAGAAGGAUCGGCCCGCGUUGGAUUAGGUAGUUGGUGGGGUAAUGGCCCACCAAGCCGACGAUCCAUAGCUGGUUUGAGAGGAUGAUCAGCCACACUGGGACUGAGACACGGCCCAGACUCCUACGGGAGGCAGCAGUGGGGAAUCUUAGACAAUGGGGGCAACCCUGAUCUAGCCAUGCCGCGUGAGUGAUGAAGGCCUUAGGGUUGUAAAGCUCUUUCAGCUGGGAAGAUAAUGACGGUACCAGCAGAAGAAGCCCCGGCUAACUCCGUG
Molecule: ribosomal RNA, 433 nt
Filed under: uncultured bacterium
Lineage: Bacteria
Description: partial 16S ribosomal RNA
Rfam family: Bacterial small subunit ribosomal RNA
Source: RNAcentral